GUCGAACGCAGUAGCAAUACUGAGUGGCAGACGGGUGAGUAACAUGUGGGAAUCUGCCUUGUGGUUCAGGACAACAUUGGGAAACCGAUGCCAAUACUGGAUAAGCCCUUACGGGGAAAGUUUUAACGCCAUAAGAUGAGCCCGCACUUGAUUAGUUAGUUGGUGAGGUAAUGACUCACCAAGACAAUGAUCAAUAGCUGAUCUGAGAGGAUGAUCAGCCACACUGGGACUGAGACACGGCCCAGACUCCUACGGGAGGCAGCAGUGGGGAAUCUUGCACAAUGGAGGAAACUCUGAUGCAGCGAUGCCGCGUGAGUGAAGAAGGCCUUUGGGUUGUAAAGCUCUUUUGUAGGGGAAGAUAAUGACUGUACCCUAAGAAUAAGGUCCGGCUAACUUCGUGCCAGCAGCCGCGGUAAUACGAAGGGACCUAGCGUAGUUCGGAAUUACUGGGCGUAAAGCGCGCGUAGGCCGUUGAGUUAGUUAAUUGUGAAAUCCCAAAGCUUAACUUUGGAACUGCAAUUAAAACUGCUCGACUAGAGUUUGAUAGAGGAAAGCGGAAUACAUAGUGUAGAGGUGAAAUUCGUAGAUAUUAUGUAGAACACCAGUUGCGAAGGCGGCUUUCUGGAUCAACACUGACGCUGAGGCGCGAAAGUAUGGGUAGCAAAGAGGAUUAGAUACCCUCGUAGUCCAUACCAUAAACGAUGAUUGCUAGAUGUUGGAAAUUUAUUUUCAGUAUCGCAGCUAACGCAU
RNAcentral lists this ribosomal RNA (750 nucleotides) under uncultured bacterium. RNAcentral's name for it is "bacterial SSU rRNA". It matches the Rfam family "Bacterial small subunit ribosomal RNA", at positions 61 to 860 of the family's 1533-position model. The record is from RNAcentral.